UUCGGGUCUAGCGGCGGACGGGUUAGUAACGCGUGGGAACGUACCCUUUUCUACGGAAUAGCCUUUGGAAACGAAGAGUAAUACCGUAUACGCCCUUUGGGGGAAAGAUUUAUCGGAGAAGGAUCGGCCCGCGUUAGAUUAGAUAGUUGGUGGGGUAAUGGCCUACCAAGUCUACGAUCUAUAGCUGGUUUUAGAGGAUGAUCAGCAACACUGGGACUGAGACACGGCCCAGACUCCUACGGGAGGCAGCAGUGGGGAAUCUUAGACAAUGGGCGCAAGCCUGAUCUAGCCAUGCCGCGUGAGUGAAGAAGGCCUUAGGGUCGUAAAGCUCUUUCGCCAGGGAUGAUAAUGACAGUACCUGGUAAAGAAACCCCGGCUAACUCCGUGCCAGCAGCCGCGGUAAUACGGAGGGGGUUAGCGUUGUUCGGAAUUACUGGGCGUAAAGCGCACGUAGGCGGAUUAGAAAGUUAGAGGUGAAAUCCCAGGGCUCAACCCUGGAACUGCCUUUAAAACUCCUAGUCUUGAGUUCGAGAGAGGUGAGUGGAAUUCCAAGUGUAGAGGUGAAAUUCGUAGAUAUUUGGAGGAACACCAGUGGCGAAGGCGGCUCACUGGCUCGAUACUGACGCUGAGGUGCGAAAGUGUGGGGAGCAAACAGGAUUAGAUACCCUGGUAGUCCACACCGUAAACGAUGAAUGCCAGUCGUCGGGUAGUAUACUAUUCGGUGACACACCUAACGGA
Molecule: ribosomal RNA, 738 nt
Filed under: alpha proteobacterium SCGC AAA158-A21
Lineage: Bacteria; Pseudomonadati; Pseudomonadota; Alphaproteobacteria
Description: bacterial SSU rRNA
Rfam family: Bacterial small subunit ribosomal RNA
Source: RNAcentral